Molecule: long non-coding RNA, 3632 nt
Organism: Corylus avellana
Lineage: Eukaryota; Viridiplantae; Streptophyta; Magnoliopsida; Fagales; Betulaceae
Source: RefSeq, a predicted model, not a curated record
CUUGAGGUACAGAGGAUAGUGAGAGAGAUGGCGAUCGAAGAUUGCAGAGCAUGGCCUCACUUGAUCUUCUGGGAAGAGCUGGAAAACGAUGGCGAGGAAUCAAUAUCAGAGAUAAAUGGCGCUAAUACUGGUUCCUCCUCCUUCGCAUCCAGCUCUUCUAUGAGAAUCAAGUGAUGUAUUUCGUCCAAAUAUCUAGAGUAUGUGGUCGUUUGUUGCUUGAUUUAUGGAGGAAGAAGUUGCAUUCUAAGCAUUUUCAAUAUGUACUGUAUGCAACUUCUUCUUUCAUAAACCAUGCCCCAAGCUACCCCUCCUGAUACGAUGGACAGCAAUUCGUCGUUGAAAUUGAGAGUCUACCGCAUCUGUUCUAAGAUGUGGUCUGGCGAUCCAAAAUUUAUUUGAUCAGAUUAUAUUGAAGAUGAUUCCUCCUCAUAGGUCAUGACCCUGUGACUAUGAGAUGCACCUACAGUUAAAAUAUUACACAUUUUAAUAUUUCGUUUUGAAUGUAAUUUGUUUAUUUGGAAUUUGAAAAUGAUGUAGAUAGUGGUUGAGGUUGCUUGUUAUAUAUAAUUCAACAAAAGAAUUGAUCAGUCUCUUUUAUUGUUUCCUUAGAGAAGAAGCAAUGAUGUGUUAGACUGAUUUCUUUAAUAGGACUCUUAAACUUUGUAAAGAGAAAAAAACAAGUUUUGGCACAGAUUGGACAAGAAUACUAAUAAACUUGAUCAGGUUCUUCAUAGCCUUUUCUUUUUCUUCCUACCCUCAACUGUGCGCUAAAGAUACUUCCUGCCAUCGAGAAGCUUCUAUUAAUUGUUAACUAGCAAGUUCAUAACCAACACUUAAUUGCGAGACUUCUUGUACCUAGAGUAAGUUCUUCUAUUGUGUUCCUUUCUUUUUUCCUUAUUACAACGAGAAAAGAGGCCUUGAUGGUCUAAUUCCUUUUUUUUUUUUUUUUUUUAUUAUUAUUAUUAAUUUCAAAUGUAGUUAAGUUAUGGACAACAAUUGGAUGAUCAUCUAGACAGUCAUUAGAGUAUAUUGAUGGUGUUAACGAGUUUUUGAGGCUUGCGUGUAACAACUCAACUACAAAUGGGUCAAUUAAGUGCCCAUGUAAGAGGUGUGGCAUUCGCAAGACAUUAAUGCUCGGUGUGGUAUACGACCAUUUGAGACAUUAAUGCUCAGUGUGGUAUACGACCAUUUGAUUAGUUGGGGGAUUUUGCAAGGUUACACCUGUUGGUAUGCUCAUGGGGAACGGGUUUUGACUAGUACUAGUCGAGCUACUAACAUUCCAGUUAAUAGGGUGCCGAUACAUGAAAGCUCCACAAUGGUCUCGGUGAGUCGUCUAAAAAGGCGAAAAGAAAACCGGAGAAGGUAAGUCAUUGAAGAUUGCAAAUGUUGUUUAUGUCAUUGAAGACUGCUUCACGCAUGAAGUGGCAUGCUAAUGUUCGAACAAAUGAUGAGGUACUAAGGCAUCUGACCGUUGAUCUAGCCUGGAAGUCAAAUGAUUCACAAUACUAAGAUUUUGCCUCUAGCCUCUUCAAUGUCAGGCUUGGGUUAGUAUUAUAUAGAUUUAAUCAUUUUGGCAACAUGAGCACUACUCACUGUACUUGGUCAAUUAUAUUGGUACUAUACAAUUUUCCUCCUUUGAUAUGCAUGCAACAAUCAUCUUUCAUGUUAUUCUUGAUUAUUUCAAGCCCAAGUUCACCUUCAUUCAAGAUAGAUAUGUACCGAGAGCUUCUAAUAUCAUAAUUGAAGGAAUUAUGGGAUGUCAAAUGUGUCCUCCAAAAAGACAUUUAGGAUACGUGUGGCCUUGAUUUGGACAAUAAAUGAUUUUCUUACGUAUAGUGAUUUGUUUGUGGGGAGUACGAAAUGUUUUGCUUGUCCUUGUUGUAUGGGUAAUACACAAUUUAAGUGGUUAAAACAUGGAAACAAAUUUUGUUAUGCAAGGCAUAGAUGCCCAGGUGAUGUUUUAUGUGUAGUAUAAGCUGUAUUCUUGUUGUAAGUUUCAGAAUUGCGUGUAGAUGUGAAACAUGUUUUGAAGGUAAUGAUCUGAUUGAGGAUGAGGAAGACGAGGGUGAGGGUGAAGAUGAAGAAGAUGAGGAUGCAGAUGACGAGGAGGUGAGUUCUCUAGCCUUUUCAAGUAUUUUAAAACUAAAGGACUUUAGUAACAGCCUACACAACUAUAGGGUAAUAGUGAUUUUGAUUUCUUUUUCCAUUUUUAUGUAUAUUGCUAGAUUUGGCACAUAUUGCUGUCUUUUGAUUGGGAGUUGUAAAUUCCUUGGUUUUGCCGGUUUAGCAAGUGAGAUUUGCAAUGUUCUUUUGUAAUUAGAAUAAGAUUGGUCUUGGUGGAGACUUUACUAAUUUACUAUUGUAUGGAUGUUUACUAACUUACUAUAGAAAUCAAUAUCGAAUCUGCUAUUUUGCACCUUGCACUGUUAUAUUAUGGUAUUAGUAGAAAAACCACUGUUAAGCCUAACAAAUGGUGAAAAGUGAAAACCAUAAUAAUGACAACAAUAGUAAACUAAUAAAUAAAAAGAAACCUAAAGCAAGAGCAACAAUUUGCAUAAUGAGUUUCUUCUCUCGUAAGGCUACAAGAAGUGGGAGAGUUUAAGCCAUUUAAUUGGCAUAAGCAAAAUGAUACAAAUUCUGAAAGGCGAUUACAAGACAAUGAUAUUAGAUUAGGAUAAGAAUCCAAGGAAGAUCUUGUUUAAUUAACAUUUAGUGUCUUUUACACAGUGCCAUCAUUAGCUUUUCUUUCCUGCUCCCUCCCCAACUUCACAUUCAAGGACAAAAAAGAUAUAUGAUGAGUAAAGAAAUAAUACUUUAAGUCAGAAGUGGAAACCAUUAUGGGUCAAAUGAGUUGAUCAUCCAUCUCAAUGUGAAGUCCAAUAAUUUGUCUUGUAAGAUUCUAAAGCUACAUUCUUCAAAUGAAUCAAGAUAUUAUAUUUCUUUGAUCUUCUCCUUUUGUUUUGUUUUUUUUUUUAUUAGAAAACAUUUUGACGUUAUUGAUCAAGCUGGCUCUAUAGUAGCUUGCAAUAUAUAUAUAUGCCUGCAUCCAUAACUAUUUUUGCCUUUGGUGGCUUAAAAACAACCAUAGUUUCACCAUCUACAAGUCUCUAUAAACAGUACAACUUAAAAUUUCUACAGGGAUUCAUGCAUUUUAGCUCGAAUACAUGUGAGACCUGUCUAGAUAAUGACCUUUGUUUUAACGUCGUAUUAAGAUAUUUAGAACUUGGUUUGGUAAGCUUACAUACAUGAUCGAAUCUGUGACAGUUAAAAGCGAUCUUGUGCACAUGUUUUGUUGGUGUAUUUGCAAGUUAAAAAUUUCUUAUUGUUAGUGUUUUGAAACUGUUUUCUUUUUUAUACCCAAUCGUGCUAUUGUUUGUGAGUAUGUUUUUCUUGUUGGAGUGUUUAUGGCUAAGUAAAGAGGAACUAUGAUGGAGUUACUUUGCAAACUCGGAUCUUCUCAGUGGCUGGCAUGGGUAUUAAUUUGUAAUGUACUUGUUUUGUAACUUUUUAGAAUUUUCAAUCAGAUUCGAUUGUCUCCUAGUAGUUUGGGUCGUUUUGUUCUACUAAACUUCUUAUAGCUGUAUUUUUACCUUAUUGGGGAUUUCAUCGUUCCAUAUUACCUGUUCUAGUAU